UCUCUCCAAGGUCUCGGUGCUGUACUGAUGCAAGAGAAGAAAGUUGUUGCUUAUACCUCUCGCCAGUUGAAAACUAAUGAGAAGAACUACCCCACUCAUGAUCUCGAGUUGGCGGCAGUUGUGCACGCUUUGUUGACUUGGAGACAUCUUCUAUUGGGAAGGAAAGUGGAUAUUUUCACUGAUCACAAGAGUCUCAAGUACAUCUUCACUCAGCCUAAUCUCAACCUCAGGCAGACUCGAUGGGUCGAAAUGAUUCAAGAGUACAAUCCGAGUAUCGAGUAUACUCCAGGCAAGGCUAAUGUGAUUGCUGACGCUUUGAGCAGAAAAGCAUAUUGCAACAGUCUGAUUCUCAAGCCUUAUCAACCCGAGCUUUGUGAAGCUUUCCGCAAGCUUAAUCUGCAAGUUGUUCCUCAAGGUUUCCUCGCCAACCUUCAAGUCUAUCCUACCAUAGAAGACCAAAUUCGCCAAGCCCAACUUCUUGAUGCUAUGGUGAAGAAGGUGAAGAUUGGUAUUGCAAAGAGUCAGUCCAAGUACAAGUGCUACCGACUUGAU
This 552-nucleotide ribosomal RNA is filed under the name Triticum aestivum (bread wheat). RNAcentral describes it as "partial small subunit ribosomal RNA". The record is from RNAcentral. Lineage: Eukaryota; Viridiplantae; Streptophyta; Magnoliopsida; Poales; Poaceae.